This is a non-coding RNA of Nylanderia fulva, 227 nucleotides long. The record is from RefSeq and is a predicted model, not a curated record. Lineage: Eukaryota; Metazoa; Arthropoda; Insecta; Hymenoptera; Formicidae.
AAGGAGGAGAACGAGGAAGAGGAUGAUGAUGAUGAUGCCGAGGAUGCCGGAAUCGCUAACGGAAGGAGAAGCAGGAGGAGAACGAGGAAGAGGAUGAUGUUGAAGCCGAGGAUGCCAAAGUCGGCAAUGGUAGCAUUGCGAUAUGCAGUGUGAUUCACACGUCGUGUCGGGAGUGCCGUGUAAAGUGUCGGGCGAUCGUAAUUCGUGUUUUCGCGAGUGUCGCGAGU